Molecule: ribosomal RNA, 214 nt
Filed under: uncultured bacterium
Lineage: Bacteria
Description: partial 16S ribosomal RNA
Rfam family: Bacterial small subunit ribosomal RNA
Source: RNAcentral
UACAGAGGGUGCGAGCGUUAAUCGGAGUUACUGGGCGUAAAGGGCGCGUAGGCGGUUAUAUAAGUGAGAUGUGAAAUCCCUGGGCUUAACCUAGGAACUGCAUCUCAUACUGUAUGACUGGAGUAUUGUAGAGGGUAGUGGAAUUUCCGGUGUAGCGGUGAAAUGCGUAGAGAUCGGAAGGAACACCAGUGGCGAAGGCGGACUACCUGGACAA